Clathrus columnatus is the source of this 98-nucleotide non-coding RNA. The record is from the annotation of a GenBank genome assembly. Lineage: Eukaryota; Fungi; Basidiomycota; Agaricomycetes; Phallales; Clathraceae.
GGCCUGGUGGUCUAGAGGUAUGAUUCCUUCUUAGGGUCACGGUGCCUUCGGGGAUCGGCUUAUGGAGGAGGUCCCGGGUUCAAUUCCCGGCUAGGCCC